CUGGUCUUGACAUCCACAGAACUUUCCAGAGAUGGAUUGGUGCCUUCGGGAACUGUGAGACAGGUGCUGCAUGGCUGUCGUCAGCUCGUGUUGUGAAAUGUUGGGUUAAGUCCCGCAACGAGCGCGACCCUUAUCCUUUGUUGCCAGCGGUCCGGCCGGGAACCCAAAGGAGACUGCCAGUGAUAAACUGGAGGAAGGUGGGGAUGACGUCAAGUCAUCAUGGCCCUUACGACCAGGGCUACACACGUGCUACAAUGGCGCAUACAAAGAGAAGCGAUCUCGCGAGAGCCAGCGGACCUCAUAAAGUGCGUCGUAGUCCGGAUUGGAGUCUGCAACUCGACUCCAUGAAGUCGGAAUCGCUAGUAAUCGUGAAUCAGAAUGUCACGGUGAAUACGUUCCC
RNAcentral lists this ribosomal RNA (400 nucleotides) under uncultured Escherichia sp. RNAcentral describes it as "bacterial SSU rRNA". It matches the Rfam family "Bacterial small subunit ribosomal RNA", at positions 975 to 1375 of the family's 1533-position model. The record is from RNAcentral. Lineage: Bacteria; Pseudomonadati; Pseudomonadota; Gammaproteobacteria; Enterobacterales; Enterobacteriaceae.